GAUGAACGCUGACAGAAUGCUUAACACAUGCAAGUCUUUGGCGAAUCUGUGCUUGCACAGGCUAGCCAAGGCGGACGGGUGAGUAACGCGUAAAGAACUUGCCCUGCAGACAGGGAUAACAGACGGAAACGACUGAUAACACCUGAUACAGUUGCCGGCACGCAUGUGCCUGGCAAUGAAAAGAGAUGCUGCAGGAGAGCUUUGCGUCCUAUUAGCUUGUUGGUGAGGUGACGGCUCACCAAGGCGAUGAUAGGUAGCCGGCCUGAGAGGGUGAACGGCCACAAGGGGACUGAGAUACGGCCCUUACGCCUACGGGAGGCAGCAGUGGGGAAUAUUGGACAAUGGGGGCAACCCUGAUCCAGCAAUUCUGUGUGCACGAAGAAGGUUUUCGGAUUGUAAAGUGCUUUCAGCAGGGAAGAAGAAAGUGACGGUACCUGCAGAAGAAGCGACGGCUAAAUACGUG
Molecule: ribosomal RNA, 463 nt
Filed under: uncultured bacterium
Lineage: Bacteria
Description: partial 16S ribosomal RNA
Rfam family: Bacterial small subunit ribosomal RNA
Source: RNAcentral